GACAGAGGGUGCAAACGUUGUUCGGAAUUACUGGGCGUAAAGCGCGUGUAGGCUGCUUCGCAAGUCGGGUGUGAAAGCCCUGGGCUCAACCUAGGAAGUGCACUCGAAACUGCGAAGCUUGAGUCCUGGAGAGGAAGGCGGAAUUCUCGGUGUAGAGGUGAAAUUCGUAGAUAUCGAGAGGAACACCGGUGGCGAAGGCGGCCUUCUGGACAGUUCCUGACACUGAGACACGAAGGCCAGGGGAGCAAACGGG
This 253-nucleotide ribosomal RNA is filed under the name uncultured bacterium. Its description in RNAcentral is "partial 16S ribosomal RNA". It matches the Rfam family "Bacterial small subunit ribosomal RNA", at positions 524 to 776 of the family's 1533-position model. The record is from RNAcentral.